RNAcentral lists this long non-coding RNA (1340 nucleotides) under Phasianus colchicus (ring-necked pheasant). RNAcentral's name for it is "lncRNA (ENSPCLG00000019566.1)". Lineage: Eukaryota; Metazoa; Chordata; Aves; Galliformes; Phasianidae. The record is from RNAcentral.
GUUAACAUUCAUCAGUUUAAUAGGGAGGUACUCAGGUUAACAGGAGCAGCUAGCUGGUCAGUCUCUGCCAAGUUCUUGGUACCAGUGGUAACUGACAGAUAUAAUGUCUGCCCUGGGAUUCCCCCCAGCAGAUAUUGGUGGCGGCUGUACUGUGAUCAUAUAUAUAACGGAGGGAGAAAAUAAAGCAUCACUUAUCAGAAUAAGCAAUGUCAAGGGGAAAUGGCUUUAAAGUGGAAUAGGGCAGAUUUAGACUAGAUAUUAGGAAGAAAUUCUUUGCUGUGAGGGUGGUGAGACACUGGAAAGGAUGUGGAUGCUCUCUCUUCGAAAACAUUCAAGGCCAGGCUGGAUGGGACUUUGAGCAACCUGGUCUAGUGUGAGGUGCUCCUGCCUAUGCCGGGGGGGGGCUGGAAAUAGAUGAUCUAAAGGUCCCUUCCAAUCAUUCUAUGAUUCACAGAAAGCAAGGAGACUGGUUUACACAUACAGAGCAGUUUCUCGCAAGCACAUUUCUUCUAGCUACAUACAGAAAGCUAGAGGCAGUUUAGUCGUGUUCCCAAGAUAGCAUGAGCCCUAUCUCAUAGGCUAGUCACCUGUUUGGGCCAUAGUAAGUAUUUUUCUACACGGGAGCUUGCUGAAGUCAGUUUUCAGACAAUUAUAGUGAAGUUUUGAAUUCUCUCCUGUCAUAGUUUCUGACCAGGCGAGACUGCAAGGUGAGCUUGUGUGGUGAAUCCCAAACAUAUGUAGCAGGCUGAGCCAUCAGCAGUAUUAGGCAUGAUUUAUUGUGAUGAGAUUCACCCAUUAGGGUUCAUUUGACUUACUGUUCUCAGCUGAGACCUAAGCUCACAAACACUUAGUGCUAAACUGUGACUUUACAACUUUGCCAGGUUGCUAUGCAUGUGUGAAGAGAAGCUCUUGUGGCAGCUGAUGGAAGCAUUAUCUGAAAUCAAAUGCAAUGUCCCUGAAGGAAAGAACAGAGCAGUGACAGCUGCCACAACCCCUAACAGUGAGCACCAGACUCUGCAGGCUGAUAAGGUAGAGCAGGUAGAACCAGAGCUAGGCUCGAUGUGUCCCAGCACUGCUGCUGCUUUUGAGUGCUCCAGUUUCUAUUUGCUGAGAGCAACAGAUCUGCUCAUUUUUGUCCAGGUGCUGAAACUUGAGGAACAAAACCAAACCACAUGUUUCUAGAAACUGUAAAAGAACACAGAGCUCAUCUCUCAAAUAACUUACAAUACUUGGACACCUGCUGAAGCAAGGAAGCAUAACAAACACUAGGGAGUGAUGGCAGAAGGAAACUGGAGGGUAAUGACAAUAAAAUCAAGCAGUCAUUUAAGCUAGCUGUUUGU